Molecule: long non-coding RNA, 1261 nt
Organism: Brassica napus (rape)
Lineage: Eukaryota; Viridiplantae; Streptophyta; Magnoliopsida; Brassicales; Brassicaceae
Exons: 3
Source: RefSeq, a predicted model, not a curated record
UCAUGAGGGACGAAGUACGGAAUUUUGUUUUUGAUGUAUUAUUAUGUUCAUGGACUCGAUAUUUGGUAUGGGCUUUUAUUCAAUUCAAAAGGGGCCGUGUAUAGCUAGAUAUUAUUCGUCUAGGACAGUCUGCCGUUUCAAUUACGUCUUCUCGCCGUUGAAUACCUUCUUCUUCUUCUAGAGACGUAACGGGACUAGGCUGUAUCCAAAGGUCGUCUUUAACGAACUUUUAACAAUUGCUCCAACUCCUCUAACAAUCUAUCAUUGAAUGCAUCUUCCUUUAUUUCCUUUCUCUGAAUCUUCGACUAUAUAUAUAAAGGUACAUCCUAUCCCGUGAGAUUCAUCUCUUCGAUCCUCUCACCCGUAAGCUUUCCAAUUCCACACAUUGAUGGUCUCUGACGAAGGUAUGGAAACAGCUCUGUAAUCCGACAAGUUACCUUCUCAAUAUUCAAUUCCACUGAAUAGUUUCUUUCAGCGACAGGUUUAGGUUCCCUGUCUAACAAGAACAUCAACGGAAGAGGGCCAAGGAGCUACUCAAUCCACAGUACUGUCCUUACUUCUGGAUGAAUGAUUUGUGAGAUUCAUUCAAUUACUUUUAUCGAUUUGACAAAUCUAGGAAUCAUCAUGAUGAAAUUCAAGAUGUAUAUAGCCUUUGUUUGUUUUAAAAAACAACAAGAUAUUACGUUUCUAUUUGCAAAUACAUGAAAAAAUAAAUCACAACUUGAAAAGUUUGUUAUUUUUUGAAAUAUAUGUAGAUUAGAUAACAACAUAUGAUUGGAAACAUAUGCAAACUCUUGAAAAAAAUUUGUUACCAGUUGGCAAAGUAUAUGGAACAUGAGAGAGGUUUGAGGAAGUCGGGAAGAGAAGGACACACGUCGUGGCUUAGGGAAAAGAGGUUGAGGUUGUUCAAAAAAAAAAGGGGAAAAGAGGUUGCUUUGUUGACCGAAUGAUAUUGCAUAUUUUCUUUAAUUUUCUUUCUAAUCAAAAGAACAUGUGGUAUAUUGAAAUUUAUCCUUUUGUUAGGCUGGAAUCUGAAAAUCAAUCUUAUAUAUUAAAACAGAAGUCACAACCUUGAUUCAUGUGUGAUUUUUUUAAAAAAUAGACCUAAUGGACUUAUUCCCAGAAAAUCAUAUUACAUUUAAUAUAUAAUCUUAUCAUUUAAAUUUUGGGCCUAAUAGAAAUUUUUAUUGGGCUAUCAAUAAUUGAAUUUAAAUAAUAGAUGAUCCAUUAGAUUUAUAGAUAGUAUAAAUUAAAUAGAUAU